UAAAUCUCCGCCUCUCCUUCAAAGUUUUAGGUGAAAAUUGGCACAUCUGUUGUUGAAUUCUCAAAUCAUCAUGCUCCAAUGUUAGAUCAUCAACUCCGUUCCCUGGGUGUUUAAUAAAUGGUUCAAAUUCAUCUUUCAGAAGUAAACUUUUGGUCCUUCCUUUGAUUUGCUUACUGCUAAACUCUUCUUCUUUCUUGAGUGCUCCUUUUUCACUUAUGUGCUGAUACCGCUGGGAUCUCUGCUGAUUAGGCUAUAGCUUGCCUGUUGUUUUCACUAUGUUUGCAGCUGUAAUCGCUUAUAUGAGAGCUAAGACCUUUUUAAUAUGUUGUUCUGAAUCAUCCACAGAUUCUUUUGAAAAAUGAAUUCAGGUUUGGAUGCACCCCACAUUGCUUGAAUCAGGCGAUUAUUGGAGCUUUCAAGAUAUAAAGCAAAGGGGUUAGAAGGAUACAGAUUGGAGAUCAAAAUGAUAAAAAAAGAGAAGAAAAAGUACAGCUUAAGACCUGCAGCAAAAGAGCCUCAGGUACCGAGGUAGCAGUCCAUUUGUCAUGGUUGCGGUCAGUUAAGAUCGUCAAUCAACCGCGACCGCAAAAGUUAAUCAUAGUCGUGUAGUUGUGAUCACAACCAGACUUGUGAUUGUGGCUUGGCAAAAAUAUUCGGCCAAAGGGAAAAACUGUAAUUGCACGUGUUGAUCCAAAUUUGAACAAAAAGACUCAAAUCCUAGUUUCAUGUAUCAAUAAUUCUAUUACACUCCUUCUUUUCUAAUUUUCUAGGUUUUAGCUCUAGAUUUA
Long non-coding RNA from Capsicum annuum, 788 nucleotides. RefSeq lists it as uncharacterized. NCBI's taxonomy places the organism in Eukaryota, Viridiplantae, Streptophyta, Magnoliopsida, Solanales, Solanaceae. The transcript has 3 exons. The record is from RefSeq and is a predicted model, not a curated record.